Molecule: ribosomal RNA, 400 nt
Filed under: uncultured Glomeromycotina
Lineage: Eukaryota; Fungi; Glomeromycota
Description: eukaryotic LSU rRNA
Source: RNAcentral
GAAAAGAACUUUGAAAAGAGAGUAAAAUAGUACGUGAAAUUGUUGAAAGGGAAACGAUUGAAGCCAGUCGUACUGGCGGGAAAUCAACUUCUCGAGUGCUUGUCGUGGGUGACGUUGAGCUUCACGGCCUUCGUUGCUUACGUUAUGGUGCUUUUGAGGUGUACUUUUCCGUAGGUAGGUCAACAUCGAUUUUGAUCGUCAUAAAAUGAUCGGAGGAAUGUGGCUCUGAUCUCGUAUCGGAGUGUUAUAGCCUUUGAUAGAUGUGACGAUUGGGAUCGAGGAUUGCAACGAAUACCCUUUUGGGCUAUCCGUCUGACCUCUGAUGGUUAGCUGGGUGCCGAAAGCGUGCUUAUGACAUUCUAGUUGGCGGUCAAAAGGUUAGAACGUGAUUACAUUCGUU